GGUCCAUCGGGUGGCGCAUGCUGUUAGGUGCCCAUGAAUCAAGUUUUGCACCGGGGCCCCAUGUAUUGUGUGUACGCCACUGGGCAUAAGGUUAUCCUAACUAUAAGAUAAGGCUAGGGACUAAUGAAAGUAUUUAGAAAAUUGGCAGAUUAGAUGGGCCGAAUGGUUCUUAUCUGCCGUCACAUUCUAUGUUUCUAUAUUCAUUCCUUCGAUUUCUACACUGUGUUUUAUGCACCAAAUGGAGUACACUUUACUAUAACAAAAUAGUAAAGUGUACUAUGUCUAACCUCUUAUGUCUGACUUGUUACCUUCUGCAGAUUGGUCCAGAGAAUCUACUUUUCAAACCACCUAUUUAAAACCUACUUGACUUGCCUCUUUAUUUAUUGUUUCCGAGCUUAAAAACAGCAAAUAUGAAGCCUCCUGUUUUAUCAUAAAAUUAGGGAUUAUUUUAGCUCAGUGAACGAAUAAUCAAAAUUGUAUUAAAAACAGUAGGCGAAUAUUUUCCCACCCUUUUUUCCCCCCUCCC
Non-coding RNA from Pelobates cultripes (western spadefoot toad), 526 nucleotides. Lineage: Eukaryota; Metazoa; Chordata; Amphibia; Anura; Pelobatidae. The record is from the annotation of a GenBank genome assembly.